UUCUGUAGCAAGGUUAACCGAAUAGGGGAGCCGGAGGGAAACCGAGUCUUAACCGGGCGUUAAGUUGCAGGGUAUAGACCCGAAACCCGGUGAUCUAGCCAUGGGCAGGUUGAAGGUUGGGUAACACUAACUGGAGGACCGAACCGACUAAUGUUGAAAAAUUAGCGGAUGACCUGUGGCUGGGGGUGAAAGGCCAAUCAAACCGGGAGAUAGCUGGUUCUCCCCGAAAGCUAUUUAGGUAGCGCCUCGUGAAUUCAUCUCCGGGGGUAGAGCACUGUUUCGGCUAGGGGGCCAUCCCGGCUUACCAACCCGAUGCAAACUGCGAAUACCGGAGAAUGUUAUCACGGGAGACACACGGCGGGUGCUAACGUCCGUCGUGAAGAGGGAAACAACCCAGACCGCCAGCUAAGGUCCCAAAGUCAUGGUUAAGUGGGAAACGAUGUGGGAAGGCCCAGACAGCCAGGAUGUUGGCUUAGAAGCAGCCAUCAUUUAAAGAAAGCGUAAUAGCUCACUGGUCGAGUCGGCCUGCGCGGAAGAUGUAACGGGGCUAAACCAUG
RNAcentral lists this ribosomal RNA (557 nucleotides) under Salmonella enterica. RNAcentral's name for it is "partial 23S ribosomal RNA". It matches the Rfam family "Bacterial large subunit ribosomal RNA", at positions 633 to 1191 of the family's 2925-position model. Lineage: Bacteria; Pseudomonadati; Pseudomonadota; Gammaproteobacteria; Enterobacterales; Enterobacteriaceae. The record is from RNAcentral.